Molecule: ribosomal RNA, 495 nt
Filed under: uncultured bacterium
Lineage: Bacteria
Description: partial 16S ribosomal RNA
Rfam family: Bacterial small subunit ribosomal RNA
Source: RNAcentral
GACGAACGCUGGCGGCGUGCCUAAUACAUGCAAGUAGAACGCUGAAGGAGGAGCUUGCUUCUCUGGAUGAGUUGCGAACGGGUGAGUAACGCGUAGGUAACCUGCCUGGUAGCGGGGGAUAACUAUUGGAAACGAUAGCUAAUACCGCAUAAGAGUAGAUGUCGCAUGACAUUUGCUUAAAAGGUGCAAUUGCAUCACUACCAGAUGGACCUGCGUUGUAUUAGCUAGUUGGUGAGGUAACGGCUCACCAAGGCAACGAUACAUAGCCGACCUGAGAGGGGGAUCGGCCACACUGGGACUGAGACACGGCCCAGACUCCUACGGGAGGCAGCAGUAGGGAAUCUUCGGCAAUAGACGGAAGUCUGACCGAGCAACGCCGCGUGAGUGAAGAAGGUUUUCGGAUCGUAAAGCUCUGUUGUAAGAGAAGAACGAGUGUGAGAGUGGAAAGUUCACACUGUGACGGUAUCUUACCAGAAAGGGACGGCUAACUACGUG